CUGAGGAAGGGUGCUGGCACCCAGCUGCUGCCUGGACUUUGCACACCUGAUGGUGGUGCUUAGUGCCCAACAUUCCAACCUCUGCUUUGCCUGUCCUCACUUUGGCUGAGGAUGUGACUCAAGAGGGUGCCCAGCAGCAUUUCAGCUUGCAGAAAAUUCCUCAUGCAGCGCUGUGUUUUCAUUCUUGGAUGUGUGGGUUCAGGGGCGCAGUGAAGCCUGUUGUUGUGCGCCAUUCACAGGUGCUGGUGAAGAUCCCAGGUAACCAGUGAUAGAAUGACAGCCAUAUGCAAAGGAACCAGAACACUGCUUUGGCAGAGGCACUGAGGACUGCAGUUUGAAGAGGCAGAUAGGCAACAUCUGUAGGCAUCAAGCAGCGGUGAGUCCCUGCCGCACAGAGUGGGUGUUCGUGUUCAACAAGGCAAAGGAUAGAAUCCUGUGUCAAACCAGUGUGCGCUCAGUAAAAGCUGCCCUUCCCCUGGUGUGAGAAGAGAAACUAUUCUUCUUGCAGAAUCAGAAUGUCUUUUGUUUUCUUCUUCCUCAGGGUUAACCAUGUGGGAGAUGGGGGAAGCACAAAGUCUUAAUCACCCUUGUUUCAUUCCAGGCCAGGUGAGCUGUCUGACAUCUUUUUCACACAUCUGUCCAUUUUAAGCAACCUGAUUUUACAGCAGAUUUGGAAGUGUCCUAAAAUUGCUUCAGCAGUUACAUUUUCAUGCUCAAGUUUCAUUUUCCUGAAAUGGCCAUCAAAAUUGGAAGUUCUCGUUUUCACUGGCGCUGAAUGCUCUUUGUGUUUUAACCUAUUCAUUAAGGAAGCAAGUUAAAGUAAGAGUUCUUUUGUAGCUUAAUUAGAAUCAUAGAAUCAACAAAGUUGGAAGAGAUCUCUAAGAUCACCCAGUCCAGCUGUCCACCUACCACCACCAUUUCCCACACCUUUCAUCACAGCUGCUUAUACUUAGGUCAGCCAUAUGGUUCCCCCCUGCCCAAGUCAGGUCUUCAUAUAGAUCCUCUUGAAUUUAUUCAAACACAGACCAUUACAGACAGUGUGCUUCUGGAGCUCAGGGACUGUAAUGUAAUAAGGCACUAGAUGCCAAGAUUCUCCAUGGCAUCAGUUACUGCAAAAUCUAUCAAAUGCAAAGCUAUGGGCUCAUUUUGGAGAGGUCACCUGCAGGAUCUCACUUCUGGAGCAGUACUCGGGAAGGCCUGCAGCCCAGAUGUCUACACGUGGGUUUUCAAGGAACGUGGUCCACAAUCAGCAUGAGCAAAUCUCGUCUAUACUUCAAACUUUGGAUCCCAAAGCAGAUCGUCUGCUCUUUAAGGAUUAAGACAGGUUAUACUAUCCGCUUCAGACAUGGAGUCCUUGCAAAAGAACAUCCUGCUUCCUCUGUCUGAUAUCAGUAGUUAACCUUCUUCACAGCGAUCUCUGGUUUGCUGAAGGCUUGGGUACCUGGUCCUUCACCCUGCCCCCAUCCCCUGGGGUGAUGACUUAAGUUAUGCAGCAAUUCUGCAUUUGUUUUGCUAUUCUUCUGUUAAAAAAAAUAUGAAACUCAACUUGUUGAGCAAAUAACACAAAAAAGAGUGCAGAAUUGCAUGACCUACACAUACACUACUGUAACAAAAGUUUGUUUGGUGUCCUCCGUGCAUUUCUUGGGUACACUAUUGGUGGUGCUCAGUAAAUGUUAAGCCCUACAGAAGUUACGAUUUUCUUUCCUUUUGUGUACAGUUAACGACUUUGUACAUUGCAGACAUAGAUCAAAUAUCAUGCUAACACCUCUCACUUGUUGAAUCAGACACCCCAUCAAGAGUUGAGAUAAAUGGCCCAGCGACAGGAAUUGUUUAAGUACGCGAAUGAAUGAGCAAUCAUCCAUGAGCAAAGCUGACGACUUAGCAUCUGGAUGCUGCUAUUUCAUGAAGACCACGCUACAUCCUCUGCAGUUCUUAACUGCUUUGCACCUUUUGUUGCAGACCGAUGGUCCUCUACCUUGAAGUCUUAUUGAAAAAAAAAAAAAAAAUAAGAGCAAACAUUUGCUUCGAGGUUGUGCAAACGCCUGUCCCUGUCUAUCUCCUUGAAUCUGUUGAUGCUGUCCCAACAGAGGAUGAUGAAAGGUCAUCAGCAGAAAAUCUAUUUUUUUAAUUUGGCCUUGGUCUGUGGAAGGAAAAUAAUAUUGCAACAUGGCUUACAUAAGAAUACAGGCCCAGGCAAAUUCAUUCAUGCGAUGAAAUCAUACAGCCUUCAAAUACUGCUGGCUCUCCAUGUUGGAAUAGAAUAAGGUGGAAAGAAUAUGUUGCCGAAGAGUACUAAUAACCAUCUGUACACAGAAUAGGUGAGGCCUACAGUCAACGGCAGGUCAUAAUUGCACAAAGUUGGGAAAAUUUUUCUCUAACAGCUUGCUCACUCAUCUUUACCCCAAAAAUGAGACAGAGGGGAGUCUCCAGCUUUCUCUCCCCCCAGGAUUUCUCACAGUAUCUGGGAUUGAAACCCCCCUUUUAUCCCUAUCCUUCAACUGUAUUGUUUCUCCUCGUUUCCUCACUGGCUGAAGUACUGAGGUUACAGACUUCCUGGUCCACCCAAUACACGUUCCCCCUUGUAUGUCAUCCCCUUUUGUAUCAUGUAUCAUGUGUGUAAUUAACUCCAACUUCAUGCAGCUCAGGGAGGAGAAGUUAAUUAUGCUACUAAAUCUGCUCAGCAUGUCCAAAGUUUGUAAGUUCAGUUGUUGACAGACCUUCAUAACUAAAAUCUUGUUUGGUAAGAAUGUACAGACACCAACAGGAGAGGAAUCUGCAAGCCUCUGCACAAGUUUGUGAGCAAGGGCAUCUUGUUUGCAAACCUCUGGGUAAAUAACAUUGUUAGCAAGGACAUCUUGUUUGUAAGCCUCUUUUGUUUCGUGUGAAGAGCAAAUGCAAGAUAUAAGGGAGCUAAUACUUUGGUUAUUGUAAAACCAUGUGCUUUAUAAGCACCAGUACCUAAUUAUGACCUUAAUUAUUAUAGUUCUGUGAAUUGUUAAAUAAAUGCUUUCUAAAUCACUAUGCAAAACUAUUGC
Molecule: long non-coding RNA, 3035 nt
Organism: Gallus gallus (chicken)
Lineage: Eukaryota; Metazoa; Chordata; Aves; Galliformes; Phasianidae
Source: Ensembl